RNAcentral lists this ribosomal RNA (254 nucleotides) under uncultured bacterium. RNAcentral describes it as "partial 16S ribosomal RNA". It matches the Rfam family "Bacterial small subunit ribosomal RNA", at positions 524 to 776 of the family's 1533-position model. The record is from RNAcentral.
GACGUAGGGCGCGAGCGUUGUCCGGAAUUAUUGGGCGUAAAGGGCUCGUAGGCGGUCUGUCGCGUCGGGGAGUGAAAACUUACAGCUUAACUGUGAGCGUGCUUCCGAUACGGGCAGACUUGAGGUAUUCAGGGGAGAACGGAAUUCCUGGUGUAGCGGUGAAAUGCGCAGAUAUCAGGAGGAACACCAGCGGCGAAGGCGGCGCUCUGGGCCGGUACUGACACUGAGGAGCGAAAGCGUGGGUAGCAAACAGG